AUAAACGCUGGCGGCGCACAUAAGACAUGCAAGUUGCACGGACUUAAUCGAAAUAUUUAUAUUUUGAAGCGGUUAGUGGCGGACUGGUGAGUAACGCGUAAGGAACCUACCUAUUAGAGGGGAAUAACAGUGAGAAAUCAUUGCUAAUACCGCAUAUGCCAUAGAUAUCACAUGAUAACAGUGGGAAAGGAGCAAUCCGCUAAUAGAUGGCCUUGCGUCUGAUUAGAUAGUUGGUGGGGUAACGGCCUACCAAGUCGACGAUCAGUAGCCGGACUGAGAGGUUGAACGGCCACAUUGGGACUGAGAUACGGCCCAGACUCCUACGGGAGGCAGCAGUCGGGAAUAUUGCGCAAUGGAGGAAACUCUGACGCAGUGACGCCGCGUAUAGGAAGAAGGUUUUCGGAUUGUAAACUAUUGUCGUUAGGGAAGAGAAAGGACAGUACCUAAGGAGGAAGCUCCGGCUAACUACGUG
RNAcentral lists this ribosomal RNA (472 nucleotides) under uncultured bacterium. Its description in RNAcentral is "partial 16S ribosomal RNA". It matches the Rfam family "Bacterial small subunit ribosomal RNA", at positions 29 to 507 of the family's 1533-position model. The record is from RNAcentral.